UACGGGGGGGGCAAGCGUUGUUCGGAAUUACUGGGCGUAAAGGGCUCGUAGGCGGCCAACUAAGUCAGACGUGAAAUCCCUCGGCUUAACCGGGGAACUGCGUCUGAUACUGGAUGGCUCGAGUUUGGGAGAGGGAUGCGGAAUUCCUGGUGUAGCGGUGAAAUGCGUAGAGAUCAGGAGGAACACCCAUGGCGAAGGCAGCUCUCUGGUCGACAUCUGACGCUGAGACGCGAAAGCGUGGGGAGCGAACGGG
Molecule: ribosomal RNA, 253 nt
Filed under: uncultured prokaryote
Description: partial 16S ribosomal RNA
Rfam family: Bacterial small subunit ribosomal RNA
Source: RNAcentral